This 5521-nucleotide long non-coding RNA is filed under the name Ananas comosus (pineapple). RNAcentral describes it as "long non-coding RNA (ACOM_LNC028597)". Lineage: Eukaryota; Viridiplantae; Streptophyta; Magnoliopsida; Poales; Bromeliaceae. The record is from RNAcentral.
AUACAAAAGGUGGGUACUGCUCCACUUGGUUUGGGACAGGAGCCGAGGAAAUUGAGAUAUUGAAUGCAAUUGACCCUUUGUUUGGAGAUAUUAAAUGCAAAAAUAAGUAAAAAAAACUAGUAAUUAAUUACUUGAUUCUAAUUAAUAAGAAUAUAUGUUAAUGGUUAAGAUAUAGGCUAAAUUAUAUAAAAUUUUUCUAUCAAAAACUUUUUUACUUUUCCUCUUGUCAUUUAAAAACUUACACUUUACCUCCUUAUAAAAUAAAAAAUGUUCACCGGGAGAGUACUGUGUCUGUAUGAACUGUAAUGACAAAAUAAUCAUUUUGCCUCUCACCAAUUUUGUCUCCAACCUUACCUUGCUCAUCCGCCGCCUCGAUCGGCUGCGGUUCAUGCCUUGAUCUGCCGUGAUUCCUCUCUAUUUUCUUCUUCACCUGCUCCCCCUCUCCUCCUGCACCCUUGUCGCCCCUACAUUUCAGCGACAGUAGGAAGGAAAUCGAAAUGGGCGUGGAUGGAGAGGUGGGCAAGGACAACGAGGGCGAAGGCGAGGUGGCGGAGGAGGGCGAUGGGGUGUUUGUGGGCACGGAUGAAGAUGUGGGCGAGGGCGAGGUGGAGGAGAGCGAAACAACAGUAGAGAAGGCGGAGGAUAUUUUUAGUAUAAAAAAAUAUUUUAUAACGGAACCCUAACAUAUUACUAACGGUAGGGGAUGAAGUGAACAUUUUUUAUUUUAUAAGGGGACAAAGUGUAGAAUUUUAAAUGAUGGGAAGAAAAGUAAAAAAGAUAUAUUAAAUUCCAUUUUUUGAGAUGUCCAAACACCAGGCGCGAAUCUGCGAUUCGAACUUGAAACUUACUGCUUUAAGUAAUUCAGUUACUUAAGCUCUCUGGUGAAAAAAAUAUCUUAAGAAGAAUUGAAGAAACAAAUUAAAUCACAAGCAAUUUUUUUAAAAUGCUCAAGCCACAGAUAACACGGCUUUAACUAUAUUAUAAACAAAGUACCUGAAAAAUACGAAUUACAUAACUUUAUCAAAAGAAUAGAAAAAAAAAAGGAUUAUCCUUAAAGCUAAUACAACUUAAAGAAAUAAGUAAUCCUCAGGAUACUAGCUCUUCUGCCCCCAUUACAACCAAAAAUAGAAAAUAAUAACCAAAAUAGUUUCAUAAUAAACAUCUAAAUACAAAAGGGUUCUUAUUCAGUACAUAUAUAUAUAUNCAAGUGAAAAUUUUUGAAAAAUUGUAUAGCUUGAUAAGUGUUUUUUUCGCGGCUGUAGUCACUUUUGCUCGUGUUAAUCCUCUUCGUAAUCAUCAUAAAAGAUUGAAAUGGCAACCAUCAUAGCCUGAAAAAAAGCAAAUUAAAUGGUGUAAAAAGGAGAGGGAAAAAAAAAAAAAGAUCAUGUAGAAUAAUGGUGUCUUAAAUUAAGUUGGUCGGAUGAGCUUAUGUAUACAUGUAGGUUGCAGUAAUACAAUAACUGUACAUAUGUAACAACUAGCUGCAUGUCAAACUUAACUUUGUUUGAUUUGAUUUGAUUUGAUUUGAUUUUUAAAAAGUCCUCUUACUUGGAUCUCUGGUGACAAGUAUUGCCGUGCCGCCGAAGUCGCACGUGCCGCCGGCCACCUUUGUGCGUUGCCAGUAGCUGUUAAAUGCGAACGACGCAUGCGAAAUCAGCGUGUCGGGCUGGUAGCACGACCCGUUGGGCUGUAUUACGUCGCAGUCUGCCCCCGACCCGCAAGCAUAGUCCAUUGCCUCCUGAAUGAUCGGGUCGGGCACCGUUGGCUUCGCCACGCACCACAACCCGGGCAUUGUCUCCGACGGUGGCGGCGGCGGCCCUAGUGGUGGCGGGUACACUAUUGGUGGUAGAAACAUAGGUGGACCGGGCACGAAUUCAGGCGGACUCGGUAUAAAACCCGGUGGGCCCGGAGCGUAACUUGGUGGGCUUGGUACGAACUCGGGUGGGCUUGGAACAAAUUCCGGUGGGCUUGGAAUGAACCCUGGCGGGCUCGGAGUGACUGUCGGAGGGGUUGGAGUCACCCCCGGUGGGUUUGGAACGAAUUCUGGCGGGCUCGGAGUGACUGUUGGAGGGGUUGGGGUUACACCCGGCGGGUUUGGAACGUACUCUGGCGGGCUCGGAGUGACCGUUGGAGGGGUUGGGAUCACCCCCGGUGGGUUUGGUGUGAUCACCGGGUACGGAGAAUAGCUAAUUGGUGGGGGCGGAGAGAAUUGAGCUGGGAUACUCGGAGUUGGUGUUGCGGUGGAGGGCGGGGGUGGUGAGAAUACCGGGGGGUAAACGCAAAAUGGGGGAUUGAUUGUAGGGGAGGAGGAAGGGCCCAUAUCACCACCAUAUGGGGGUAGUACAAAAGGUGAGCCAAAGUAAUAGUAUGGGUCAGAAGGUGAGUAUGAUUCUUCGAGUUUCCUCAUCGAUGUCGGCUUUUUCGGUGAUCUGAUCAAUGAGAAGUGCUUCUCGGGUUGUCUCAGACUCCUUGCUUCUAUAAAAUCAGCGCAAGAAAAGCAUGAAAUCGAAAGAUGUGUGCUAUGUUUUAAAAGUUUCUAAUUUGAUGUCGAAUUUAAGAUUUCGUUACAAUUCGCUCCUUCCUAAUACAUAUUUAAUCGGAUAGGAUAGUAACAUCUACAUAAGUGUCAUCUAAACGGUACAUCCGACUCAAAACCGAGAAAUUUGAUGAAAGAUAUGCAAUUGUAACGUAAUUGCUACACCUAAAACCUCGGUGCAAAUUACCCGCGAAGGAAUUGAGCUUUAGCAUAACAGGGACUACAACUAAUGAAUGCAUAUACUUACCACAUUGAGUGAAUAAGGAAACCACAAUUGAGAUGUGGAGAAUGAGAUAAAAUGGUGCAAAGUAGCUCUUCUUCCCUAGCUCCAUAAUAAGUCACUUCUCCACUUUGGGGACACUUCUCUUUGCUAUUGAAGCCACAAAGCACUAUGAAGCAUGGGGAUGGGGUUGUUAUAGUGAUAAAAAGACUAAACAAGUGUGGAUCACCCAUCAAAAGAUGUUGAAGAGGAGCUCCACAAGGGUGAGAGGAAAAAAAAAAAAAAAAAAAGUUGGUGAGGGGUGGAAAGAGCUUAGCUUUGGUGAUGAUUCUUCAAUUGGACACUUUUUUGUCACCCUCUUUGUGAUGGAUUGGUGAUAGAUUGUGGUUUUUAGGAGUUGUUUAGGGCAGGGCAUCUUUAUUUGAAUGAUGGGUUGUGUUUAGUUUUUUUGCUUUUUUUUGUUUUCUUUUAAGAUUUGAAUCCUCUUUUCUCCUUGUUCAGUUUUGGCAUAUGUGCUUGCUUGGUUGCAGAGAAAUUGAAAAGGUUAUGUAAUUUGGCCUUUUUGAUUGCUUGUGAUCUAAGUUAGGUUUGUUGGGCCAGGCUUGGGUUUAAUAUGGAUAACACAUAGUUGAACCACUCCAAAAAAGUAUAUAAAAAAUUAGGAUUAAUUUUAUACAUGUCCCUACAAAUAUAGUGAAUGGCAAAUAUACUCCUACAAAGUUCAACUUUCAAAUGUUGUCUUUGCAAAAGUUUUGAUAUUUUCAAAUAUGUCCAGCUGAUUUGUUACCGUUAGAGAACUGUUUAUAUUUUCAAUUUUGUCAUCACAAAUAUAUCCCUCUAAAAGCCACAACAGCAUAAUAUAAAAGGAUAAAAAUGUCAAAAACUAACUGGGUUAAGUAUUUAACCUAUGAUUAAUUAAAUUUUUCUAACGGAUUCUAACGACAAUGACAUAUUUGAAAAUAUCAGGAUUUUUACAAAAAUAAUAUAUAAAAGUUGAAUUUUAUAUGAAUAUAUUUGUCAUUCACUAUAUUUGUAAAGACUUGUAUGAAAUUAACCCAAAAAAUAGUACUAAAAUAUAAAUUAACAAAGAAAAUAAAUAUUGAUCAGCAUUUGGGGUUGGAAUUUGAAAGAUCCAUGGGCUUUUGUGUGAGUCACGGAAGUUGAGGGUGAUAUUAAUUAAUUAGCGUAGCAAAUACUAUUAUUGUUAGGACAGAUAUAAUAAUUCUACUUAAUAUUUGCAUGACAUAAUUUAUUAUCUUUUAAACCUUGUUUCAGCAUAAAAUUAUUGUAUUUUCUGCGAUUAGACUCUUUAUUCUCAGACACUGAUUUGGAAUAUAUCCUAAUGUGGUUUAAGGCUCGAAAAAUUUUACGAGCCUGAUCCAGGAAAAUUCUGGGCCACAACUGGGCCAUUAAACAGUGAAUUUGCGGGUUUUGCGGCCCACAAUGCAUCAAUUUUAGCACCCGUAAAUUAUUAAUUGGUUUGACUAAGUUAAUCCUAGAAGAAUUUUUUUUUUUUUUUUUCUUCGACACUCGUGAAUUAAAAUGAAGACUUAUUAUUAUUAUAAGAAAGAAUCCUAACAUGUUGUUAACUGCGAGAGAAUUGUUAAAUAUAGAUUUAAAAAAUAUUAUUGUUUUAAUAACUUAAAUUUUUAUAUGAAAGUAAUUAUUUUUUUUUAAAAAAAAAAAACUCAGAUGAACGCUCUAUUAUUAAUGGCACCCCCCCUACUAUUCUUUCUCAGUACCUGACAAUGAUGAAACGCAUCUAUCAUGAGUCCCCUGUGUCCCUCUAAGUAAUAAAAUAAUAAUACAUGGGCCAAUAAUAAUAAUAAUAAUAAUAAUAAUAACUAUAGUAACCAUAAAAAAGUUGGAAAAAGAAAAGGGAGCAAAGGAGAUCUUUCAACUUUAAAGGAAACUCCACAACUUAGCAAAUAUAGCAACAAUGAGGUGCAGAGAAGGAAAAGUGACUAGACAUAGGAAAUGGCAACAAACUAUCCCCACUGGCCACUACCCCUCCAACAUUUUCUCCCUUUUUUUUUUUUUUUUUUUUUUUUUUAUAAAAGCUCUAAUAAACUAAAGUUUAUAAUAUUAAGGGUUAAUUUAUACAGCCCCAUGCAAACAUAUUGAAUAGUAAAUAAUAUUUCUAUAACCGUUUGGUUCGGGGUUAAGUAAAAACUUGUUAUUUCAGGAAUAGAGUUAAAUUCAUGGUAAGGUAAGGUUAGAGUAAUUUUAUGUUUGGUUGAGAAUUGAGUUUAGUCUAGAUAUAGGUAAAAUAGUGUUUGGUUGGAAUAGGUGGGAUAAAUAGGAUAGUGGGUAAAAUAGUGUUUUGUUUGGUUGGAGUAGUGGGGUGGGGUGGGGUUAGCUAACCCCACCCCCCAAAUUGGGUGUUUGGAAAUAACUUCGGGGUUAAGGGGUUAUUCCACCCCUUAACCCCGAACCAAACGGGUGCAUAAAGUUUAACUCUUCAUAUUUAUUGCUACAAAAGUCCAGUGAUAUUCGUAUUUGCUCUUCUAUUUGUUACCAUUACAGUAUAUAAGAGAAAUAAAAAGAUCAAUUUACCUCAUUCACUAAUUAUGAUUAAAUAUUUUAUUUAUAGUUAACUAUACUUUUCUAACGGAUCCUAACAGCGGUGGUAUAUGUGAAAAAAUAUUAAAACUUUUUUAUUAAUAAAUAUGAAAAUUAAGUUGAACUUUAUAGAUAUAUAUAUAUAUAUCUGUUAUUUGAUCUAUUUACAGAAAGUUGUACGCAUACAAUUAACUCUAAUAUUU